Molecule: long non-coding RNA, 1074 nt
Filed under: Drosophila guanche
Lineage: Eukaryota; Metazoa; Arthropoda; Insecta; Diptera; Drosophilidae
Source: RNAcentral
GGGAGAGGAGCACAGUGGCUAAAGCAUAAAAGAUAGAGCAGAGAACCAGAGAGAGAGAGAGAGAGAGAGGAAGCUUCUCCAAAAGUGGAAUCACAGCUGCUGCAAAACUUGAUUAACAAUUUAGUGUGUGUGUAGGAGGCGAGGAUACACGGAGGGACAGACGUCCAAUUUGCCUUCGUCCCUCUCUUUGCCAUUAACCGAAAAAAGCUAAAGAGUGAGUAAGAGCAGAAGUGCGGAGGAGAGGAAGAGAGGGAGAUUAGUGGGCAGCACUUGCUGCUGCUUGUCCACUCUCCUGUGUACAGUUCAUCAUACGACACACAAACACACACACACACCUUCACACACUUGAGCAUACGUUCCACUACGAGUGGCAUUCGUACACGGUUUGAUUUAUUAGCUCUUUUUCCUCCUUCCACCGUUUGAGUUGUGUAGGAGGAUCAUAAAUUCCGAUAAGAAAUUCCUCAAAUUGCUUCGAGCACAAAAUGCAUCAGAAGAUGAAAGAGAGAGACAGAGUAAAGUGUAUUAUUAACUGCAGAUCUUCCCUCUCAAGUGUAGACUGAUUUCGGCAUUGGCUCUCUUAUCGACUUGAUCCAACGUGUAGAAGCUCUAGGAGGAAGCACAAGAGAGACACUGAUCACGCCAAGGUGUAUUUGAGGCACUUCCCGCUAUUAAGCUCUUAGAAAAAUAAUAAUUCACAUUUAUCUUGAUCUUCUCUUGUGGAUCCUUUCCAUGCUGCACAUUGUACUUUUACAACAGUCAAGAAAUCUUUUGUUUCGUAUCCGAUUUUUCGAAGGAAAUGCAGGGCAGACAUCAGCCCCUUUCGGCACAAACAAAAAGAGUGAGGUGGAGGGGAAGAGGCAGCGUUAAGUUGCACAAAAUGAACUUCCUUCCGGGCGCUGUCUUCCGGUCUCGCCUGAAUGGUCGACUUCCACACAAUCCACCGAAGCCCUUGCCCCGACAUAGUCCGUCCUUCCUCCUAGGCGUAACCGACCGCCCGCCCACCUCUUACUGGCUGUACAGAAAACUUUUUCGGGGGCGCAAUCCCAGACGGUCGAAAAACCACGACGCCAAAAU